This 70-nucleotide transfer RNA is filed under the name Marmota monax (woodchuck). RNAcentral's name for it is "tRNA.Ala". The record is from RNAcentral. Lineage: Eukaryota; Metazoa; Chordata; Mammalia; Rodentia; Sciuridae.
GGGCUGGGGCUCAGUGGCAGAGUGCUUGCCUAGCAUGUGUGAGGCACUGGGUUCAAUUCUCAGCACCACG